This 292-nucleotide ribosomal RNA is filed under the name uncultured bacterium. Its description in RNAcentral is "partial 16S ribosomal RNA". The record is from RNAcentral. RNAcentral also lists the same sequence under 1 other name.
GGACUACUCGGGUUUCUAAUCCUGUUUGAUCCCCACGCUUUCGUGCCUCAGCGUCAGUUACAGUUUUGUGAGCUGCCUUCGCGAUCGGUGUUCUGUGCCAUAUCUAAGUAUUUCACCACUACAUGGCACAUUCCGCCCACAUCAAAUGUACUCAAGAUCGACAGUAUCAAUGGCAGUUCUGCAGUUAAGCCGCAGGCUUUCACCACUGACUUAUCGUUCCGCCUACGCACCCUUUAAACCCAAUGAAUCCGGAUAACGCUCGGGUCCUUCGUAUUACCGCGGCUGCUGGCAC